Fukomys damarensis (Damara mole-rat) is the source of this 540-nucleotide long non-coding RNA. RefSeq lists it as uncharacterized. The transcript is spliced from 5 exons. NCBI's taxonomy places the organism in Eukaryota, Metazoa, Chordata, Mammalia, Rodentia, Bathyergidae. The record is from RefSeq and is a predicted model, not a curated record.
CAAUACCCCCUGCAGUCGAAAGUCCCUAUAAGUUUUCUGGAGGGAGAAGAGAGAAUUUGCUCAGGAGUUGGAAUGUGCCUGUUGAUCCGCUCAUUUAACAUGCCUACCCUCUACUGGCAACCUUCUAGGAAAAACAGACCAUUAUAAGUGAAUGACAGAAUGGAUGAAAAGAAAGAGCCUUCAUCAUACCUUGACAGCUUCGACAGCACCCCUUCCAACACUGAAACAAACUACAAUGUAGUUUAUGCUUUGUUUCAACUGGCUCUAAAACAGACCACGCACAUCUACACAAAGGAUGGACAGCACCUGAUGGAAUGUGUUUAUUCACAUCUUAUUCUGCAGAUCCUCUAAGACAGCUCAUCCAGAUGUUGGUGAGGAAACGGAGCCACAGAGAGCCUGCCCAAGACAGACAGCUGCUGGUAGAGUCAGAAUCCAGGCAUGAAGAGGAGCUUUUAUCUAAAAUUUCACAAUGCUUCUCAUUCACACAUAUUCAUAUAUUUAUAUAUGAAUGUUAUAUAUAUAUCUGUGAAUAUUUUAUAU